UUUUCAUUUAAUGAUGAAGACUUACAUGACUUUCUUCAGUUACACAGAUAAAUUCUUGGGAAUGAAAGAGAGAAGAGCACACUUCCUAAUAUUUUCCUGUAGUUCCCUUAAAUGUUCAAAUACAGUUACAAAAGUGAAUUUUCUAACGCAGGCAGCUUCCAUAUUUGCUAAUGUGAUCAUUAUCGUCAUCACAUUAAUGAGAAAACUGCAGAAUGACUUGCUUCAUGAGGGAAACUGUCUAUGUGACAAAUACCAUAGUUGUUUCCAUGGUGCAAAGAUAGUUGUAUAUUGAAAUAUAGCAUGUCUCCUGAGAAAGGUUGCAUCUGGUUACAUGAAGCAACAAAAAGUUCAAGUAAUUUCAGAGUUGUAUUUUUUUGUAUUAAUGACAUUUGGCAACAACACAUGCUCCAAAAAAAUUUAUACAAGGUAAAGUUUGGCUUGUGAGUUCUGCAUUUCUGUCUGAUGUAAACGUAUUUAUCCAAUGGAUUAAUUAUUUAUAGUCUGGCCUUUCUAUAAAACUACUGUUGUAUUUCUAUUUGCUGGUUUUAAAACACUGUCUACGUGGGUGGGCAAAAUGAUAUUGCAGUGCUUACCUCUCGUGCCAGCUGGCCACCUAAAUGUCUGACUGUGUGUGUUCAACUUAGUUCAGUUGCCACAUGACAUGAAGCAGGGCUGUGACCCCAGUGAUACUCCUGCUUGUAAAUGUAAGCUCGGCUAUAAAAAUUGUUGUGAUUCCGUCAACAGUAGGUUCCUCUGUGAUGUUCUCCUCUGUUUGCCGAACCUAGAAGAAAUUUUUUAACAUCUAGAAAAGUAAAAUGUAUUUGGAAUGAGAUCUAAAAUUGUUGUAGUUGGAGCUGAUUAUUAAAAUAUGUUUUGCUUAUAGUCUGUCAAAAGAGAUCACAACUGCUGUGAAGCCAUGUUCUUUUUCAAAACUCCAGGUCUCCUUUCAGUUUUCAAAUGCUUCGGUGAGAAGUACAUAGAAAGACAGAAUUUCAGGGGUUCCUUUGUUUUAAUGGGAUAUUCUGCUGAAAUUCUGCCAGCUAGGGAGGACAAACACUGCAACGUGUCUGAGCACAUGGUAAUAUUGAGCACUACAACAGUGUUUCAAAUAAUUGCUGGUGUCACGCCCCCGCUCUCUGAAUGUUUGGAGGUCACCGUUACGGAUUGUGUCUUGCCUUCAGCAGUGACAUCACUCUCCACAGAGUGUAGCAGGUAGAAGAACCAGAGGACAGGAAAUGAAACUGGCUUUCUGAGGAACUGUCACUGCACACUGGUCUGGAUUCUCUUCCUUAAGCAUUUGGCAUUGGGCACUGUUUGGGGCUAGUUGGGCUUUCCAUACGUUUUAUGAAGAGUGAGGUAAUAUUGACCAGUGGAUGUACAACAUUUUGUGACCAGAUGUUAGUAAGAACUGUACAGAGCAAGAGAUGAACAACACGUUGCCAAGUGUUCUCAAGUGCUGAUAUUCUUCAGAUAUGCUGACAGAAACAGAUAACAUGCUACUAAUUACUAUGAACAGAUUUUCAGGAAUCUACUUUUGUUUUGCCAGGGAACAUUUAACUUAGUGCUAGCCACUCAUCAGAGCUCUCAGGAUGGUUCCCAACAACAAUGAAAGUGAGGACCUCAGUGCUGCCACCCCUGUCCCACCACUUUGGUCUCCUGGAAAACGUCUCCUGCAGCAGCACUGGGAGACCUGCAGACAGCAGAGACAGGAGGAGCUAGAGGAAGUGUGGGAUAAAAUUUGAAGAGGUACCAGCAGCAAAACCUUUCUGUGCUUCUGCUGGCACUUGCACAGGAUGAGACUUCCAAAAGGACUUCAUGAUAUCCUGCUGAAACCAAAGCUGAGUCAACCUUGUUUUAUUUAUUGAUUUUACUUAUGUGGUGUUGGUGUUUGCUUGUUUGUUGGUUUGGUUUUUUGUUUUUAAAUCACCACAGGGGUGGGUGGUGUGGCAGAAAGUUUAAGUUCUCUUGCUAUAAAACUAGCCUUUGACUUCAGCUCUGCUUUCUGCUGGAGUCUGCUGCUGAUAAACUCACUGCAUGCCUCUCAUGUGGGCGAUGGAAUCACAGGGUGGCUGGUUUGGAAACACUAAUGUUGUUUACAAAACUUUUCACUUAUCUCUGUUAGUCUUUGAGUCAAACUAUACUUAAACGGGCCUGACUUGACUAACCUUACUUCAGCCCCAAACUAUUUCUGACUAUUUUAUUCCAAAUAAAAUAGACAAUAGAUAUAAUGCAUUUUGUUUGGAAAGAAUACAUAAUUUAAAAAACAAACAAACAAACAACAACAACAACAAAAAAAAGCUGAAAAAAACUAGAAACAAGAUUUCACUUUUGAAGUGUGAUGAAGAUUGACAAAAAUAAUCCGGAAAGGAGUCAGGAAAGGUAUGCUCAAGUGGAAAGAAAAAAUAAAAAGGAGUCAUAAGUCAUUUUAAGAAUAACCUCAGAGUUUUCUUGAGUAUGAAAUGACAGUAUUUACUAAAGAGACAUUUCACAUUAGUUUGGAUAUAUAUUCGAUUCUCUGACUUCCCUGUAAUGUAUAAAAGUCAACUUUCUGUUACGUUCACAAAGACCACAAGACCCCAUGGGAGGUAAUAGUUCCACUGAUUUCAGGGGACUGACUCAACUAAUUGAACCCACUCCUUAAAAGUGUUCAGGGUAGGUUAUGCCACCUUAGGUUGUGCUAAUUCCUGAUUGGUGCACCAAAUGAAGAAUAUAUAUUUUCUUUUCUUACACUUAUCCUCACUUAGAUGCAAGUCACAAUAUUUAUACACAGAAUUACCGAUCCUUCUUAUUUAGCAUAGUUUUUACUUACGUCACUACAGAAUUUCUGUCCUUAGAAAUUUUUGUAAUGAUAUAUUUUUUUUUUCUAGAAUCAAUGGAGAAGCUUUCUUUCUGUAUUGGUUUCUAAGAAACAGGGAAUGUACAGCGCACUGCAUAACAGCCGUAUGGAGAAGCAUCAGGCCACGUGCAGAAGUGAGCCGCGUGUGUGUCCCAUUAUACAGCACAGAGCAGCUGGGAAAUCUAGGGACACUUUUGAUGAAAUAACAACAGCAUCGAAGCUCGUAAAAAUGCUCCUGGCAGCAAAUCCUUGCUUCCCAAAUAGAAAUGAGCACAAACUGAUGAUCUUGAUCACAUGAAUGUAAAAAAAAUUACUUCCUAAGAAGAUGAGCAACAUAGAUUUUAAAUCCCCCAAACUGCUAAGGAAACAGGAACUGGAUCUUCCAGGGUCAACUACAUGCAGCUGGUGCUAUGUAUUUUCCAUUCUUCUGUCUAAAUAACUACUGCACUGAUAGCAGCGGUGGGUAAUCAAUCUGACUGAAUCUCCUGGGAGCAACAUCUUGGAAAUUGCUGGACAUUGUGUGCCUGUGAGGUGGUCAGUUAUCCUACAUUAGGAGAGGACCUUGUGAGUUGUCCCUGCAAACUGAGGCCUAAUGAGAGAUUGAAUCCAGCUCUGGUUGGCUGCAGAGUCCAGUCCAGGACUUGAGGUGCCCACUUUGCAGCUGCUGGGACUUUUCAAGAUUGGUUUUGUAUAUUUUGUAUUAUUUUCUCUAUUCUUAUCAGUAGCAUUAGUAAAAUAUUUUUAAUUUUUCCAACUCUCUUCUCUCUGUCCUUCUUUCCCUCCCAAUUGCCUGUCCUUAGUGGGAAGGGGGGAGAGGGAGGGGCUGAAGAGGGAAGGGGAGGAAGAGGAGGUUAACAAUACAUCUGCCACGGUUUUAUUGUCACCCCGCUAUCAAAACCCUCGACAACUAGCACUAAAAGCAUAUCCUUCUGUAUCAAGACUUUCAGGUUGACUGCAUUUGGGAUUCAUUCCCAACUCCGCCAUGUUUUUUCACUUGAACAUUAAAAUGUCAGAUAGAAAGAAAAUAACUCAUAGCUGUCUUGGGGCUUGAUUCACCCACCUCUGAUAUCAAUUUUAUGCCAGCAUAACUCCAUUGAAAACCGUUAUAUCACUCUGGUGCUCUACCAGUAUAAUAGAGUAGCAAAUCUGACCUUAGGGGUGCUUCUUGGUUACUUCUAAUUUUCUGAUUAAAGCAGAGUUAUUGAAACUCAUAAAAUCCAUUUAACGUUGUUGCUCCACAGUGGGCUAUCUGCAUCAGAAACCUCGCUUCAUUCUACAGCUUAAGGAAAUUCCCAGCUGGCCUCAGCUCAGUGAAAGUACAUUCAGUCAAAUGCUCCAGCAGGAUUUUUAUUUUUUAAUUUGCAUGUUAUUUUAACCAUGUUCCAGAACCUUGCAAACAAAGAGAUUCAAAUAUUCCAUAGAUUUCAGGUUCUUAGGCAGAUAUGAGGCACCGUCUCCAGAUUCACCAUUCCCUACCUCUGACUUCCUCCCCAUGAAGCUGACAAAAUAACAAAGUAUUUUCAGGAUUGGCCUAUUGGGCAGGAGGAUUUGUUAUUCAGCAUCUGUAACUUGUCACUGGUGGCGUGGCUGUGCCACCACAAACUAGGGGCUUUCUCGGAGGACUACUGUCAUUCAUUGGACCAAAUUGAUACAGCUAGAAGAAGAAGAAAAGGCUUUUUUUGUUUUCUUUUUAAAUUCACUGCUCCUAUUCAGAUCCUUCCCCUAAAACAAAAUAAAAAUCCAAGCUACCUCUCUAAGAGCUUCCCCCUGUUAGUGCAUUCUCUGGAGGGGCAGGAGUAGCCUCAGGCAGCUGCAGGUCCCUCCCCAGCAUGGGGCUGUGGGGGGUACAUCUCGCUCUCCCCAAGUCUGGCUGAAUGCACACAGGGUGCUUGCUUUGUCUGAGGGAAUUGGUGUAGCAUGCACAUUGCCACCACUAAGUAGUUCAAGAUUGUGAGUCAGAAACUCCUUAAUAAGUUGCAUGCUCAAAAAGCAUGCAACUGCUAAGAACUGGGGGGAGAAGGGGGUUUGCCCCUUUGCUGUGCUAUUCUAGUAUUUGUUUUCCAUUUGAUUUUGUUUUUUUUUCUCUCUGCAGGCCCAAGGGUUAGAAAUAAAAUUUUUAUUAAUAAAUUACAACCGCAUUGCCCACAUCAUAUGUAAUUCUAAGAGUCAUACCUUAACACCACCACCAAAAUACUGGGGGACUCUAAGCUGGAUCAGGAGGGUUGGCAGCUCAUCUGGAUUGUUUAUGUUUCCUCCUCUGGGAGCAAGAGCUUUCUUUGAAAGCAUUGCAUCACCUCUCUCUGGGACGAACAAUACAUGAUGGGCAGCUUCUUGUAAAACUAGCCAGGAGUUUUGAAAAAUACAUAGUAGGGCUAAGCUUUCCAACACAGCAUCCAAACCUCCUGUAUGGCAAGGAGAGAAAAUAAUGGAUGUAAGCAGAAGUGGAAAAACGAUGAAGGGAAUGAUUACAUGAACUCGUUUCACAUCUCUGAGAUGGUCUAGUUGAGUCUGAUCUGACUCAUUAUUAUGGUUUGUAACUGUGUGUGUGCCAUUUGACAGAAGAAGGGUGACUGAGGGCUCAGUUCUAUAUACAGGCAAUCUGAGAAAUGCUAAUGGCCUCAAGUUUAAUAAAUUAGUGUAGUGAGAACGUAAAUCGUUCCACUGCCUUUGUCGGCAGGGACAUAGAGGUUGUCCGUUCAGGAACGUCAACCCAAAAUAACUCUUGAAGUGUGCAGUGUUUUUAGGAACCAUCUCAUGCAUAACUAAAAUGGUUUUCAUUUGAUUCUGCUUUGUUCAAUACAUACAGUCCAAGAGAUAAUCAUCAAGGUCUUAUUUAAUUUGAGCUUAGAAGUGUGGAGACCUAGGAGAUACAGAAAAAAAAAAAAGUGUUUAUGGGGGAAAAUAAAAAGAAGAAAGAAAAAAAGCUUCUUUAAUUCCAAAAUUGUUCCCUGUAUGUUUAAAGCUUUGAAUGAAGAUUUAUGUUGGUCCUGCUUGAUCCAAACGGGUCGCCUCUCAAUAACAAAGCUGUCUUUGAGAACGUUUAAUGCAUAUUGCUGCUGCCAGAUACAACCUCCUACUUUUUCUAGGUUUUGAAAUAGACUGGGCAAUUCCUGAGCUUUCUUUGGCAUGUGAGGAUAAUUCAUGUCUUGGACCAACUGCUCACCCAAAAGUGCAGGAGGCCCAGAUGAUGUUGAUAGGAAUAAACAAAAGGAACUGGAAAUUUCUGUAGAAGUAACUUUUUAAUAACUUUGCUUCUGCUUUAUAUGAUGGAAAAUAUUGUGAAAAUUGAGUAGUCUGUGGAGGAUUCUUUGCCCUUGGCACUAAAAAGGUUAGUUUUCUUGUUCCAUUACACGUGUACACAGCAGAUAACAUAGAAAACACUAAUCCUAGUCAGAGGCUGUUGAGAAGGAGAGACUUAAGUAAUAAAUCUGGAUAACACACUCAAAGAGCAUUGGCAUAGUGAUGGCAGCAAACACACGAGAGAGAGUGUUAAAGCUGCACUGUGUCAUGCUGAAGUGUCUUCAAAAAAUAACAGGCUCAGUUGGUUUGUUCCAAAACUUAGCAUUCCUGCUGGGGUGUAAGGGGCUGCAGCACCCCAGAAAUACCCUUUAAAACCCCCAGGCUGAUCAGUGUAAUUGCUGGCCCUUGAAACUUCAUGCCAGCGCUGAUGUGAAUGGAGGAGAUUCCAGCAAUACACUGUUUCCAUGGAGUGCAUUGAAGAACAAUGGAGCAGAGGACAAAACUUGGAUGAAGCUACCCCCAGGAAAGGUGGACAUUUGUGAAAAGGAAGACAGAUGGAACACAGAUUGAAAGGACAGUCCUGAGUCAUCCAGCCAAAUCCUGUGGUAUCAGCAGCAACCAUGUCAUGUAGGUCCUGCUCAUGAGUCUACCAAGCUGGCAGCUGUUUGACAGUGGUGUUGUCAGAAGAAUACCGUCCUGUUCUGAUAAAGCUGAAUGCAGUUCAGUUUGAUCUCCUUAGGGGUGGCAUACUGUUCAUGUAGGGUGGCUCUAGAGACCCAGGAAAUGAAAAAGUCAGACGGAUGAAAAUUUGUGUAGUGCAAAUGCAUCCUUCCACAAUUCUGCAUCUCACCACAAUGGUUCUUAACAGAGAUUUUCUUAGCAAGCAACAUAUGCAAAGAUAAUAACCUCCCUGCUGAUACUGGCAGAUAUCCUCCUUUCUGACAGACUCUGUUUCAUUCACACGCACAACGGGAGGGGAAGGGAUUUUUUUAGCACACUUAUUUUCUUUCCUAGUUCACAUCAUUCACUGAAUAUGUACAAACAGGAGGAAUGCUAAAUUGUUUACAGAAGAUCAGAGAUGAUUUGAGCCAAAACUAUCAGUUCAAGUGCCCUCAAACUUUAGGGAUUUUCUGAUGUGGCUAUGACUCCAAAAGUUGUGACUCAGACCCAUCUCUGCAGCAGAACGAACAUCAAAAUUAAUACUAAGGACAAAAGCCCCAUUCUAAGUUCUACGUGAGCUCCCAGUGAGUGUUAGACAUGAGAAAUCGUCCUGAGUCUGUCAGCAUAAAACUUUCAAGACAUAGGUAAUGUACAUCAUAAAUUUGAGUAGACAAUUACGUUUUAAGUGCUUUUCCUUUGAAAAUCUUACUAAACUUCUAUCUACUUUCCCUUCCAGACCACCUGCAGUUGCCACCCACAAGCCAAUCCCUCAUGGUCUUUAGAGGUCUUCUGUCAUUCUCAGUGUCAUUCUGAAAGCAUAGGUGCCAAGCCAAAAAAAAAAGUUUAAACAGGUGUUUAAUGUCAAAGAUGCAAUUCAUAUAAUAAGAAUUAAUAUUGACACCUAUGUGUUUACUUCCUACUAAAUGCCUGUAUAUUUUCCUGACUCUUGGCUAUGUAUAUAAUAACAAAGUGAUGACUCUGUAGAGAAAUGGAGAUCGGACAUUUGAGGGAAGGAAUUCUACCAUAAAGGAAUCCAUGGGGGUACAUCAUCUGCUCUGACACACCAGCAUGGUACCAGGAAUGCCUGUGUAAAACGCUCAAGCCAGUAUCAUCUUCCAAAAUGGAGUUGUGGAUUAGGGAAUAUUGCAAUGAAGUUUCCAGUACUUCUUGUUUCCCCUUUUCUUUUGUCUUUGCCAGGUUAUAUAUGUAGAUUGAAGCUGCUGACGAGAUGAGCGGCAAGGAAGAAUUUUAAAAUCAAUCAAAGUAAAAUAUAAGGUUUUGGUGAUUUUUUUACUAUAUUCCUUCUCAGUCAUCUACUGGUAUUUUUUUAAUUAUUCUUGAGACUAAAGCUUUCCUGCUCAGAGACCUGAGACUGUCCGCCUAUGCACUUAUCAUCACUGGCUUUCAUGAUGGUCACUUUCUCUUCUCUGACUUAUCCAAUGUUCAUUCAAAUACAUCUGCCAUAGGUGAUCUUCCUUACUUAUGACUACAGUUAGAGUAACCUCUUCACUGAAUCCUUCCAUGGACUCAUCAUUUGCAGCACUAGAGGUGCUCACUUCCUUGGUUUCAAAAAAUAAUUCAAAUUCACCUUUUCUUGAUUUUUUGGUCAUCUCUCAACAAAUUGCUCCUUGCUUUCAUAACAUCUUUGCUAUGGAGUUAUAUCCUUGUGACAUUUUGAGGGUUGCCUGGGGUCUUUUUUGUGUGUGUGUGUGUGUUUGUGGGAGGGUUGUUUAUUUCGUUUGUUUGGUUUGGUUCUCUUUUUCUCCUAUAUUGUAUAGCGAACAUGUUACUUGAAAUGCUGUCUUUCAGCAGCCUGAAAAUCUGCUUCCUCCUUAUUUGGCUCCAUUCUCAAGACUUAGCUCCUAUGCCUCUAGGUAUCUCCCUUUAAGAAGAGAAAAUGAUUUGUGAUUGGGAAUUCUUUUCUACAUUUAUUUUUAAAAUUUGAAAUACAAUGUGAUGAUGGUUGUGAUAUACAUGUGUCUUAGGCUGACUCCACAAAAUUACUGUUUAUUGCUUCUGUCACCUUUGAUUUCCCCUUCUGUUGCAGCUUUCAGUUGCUGAAGCUUGUCUUAAUUUCAGGCCCAGCUCCUACUACUUACACAUCUGCUUACAUUUAGUCACCUGCAUACUCCCAUUGAUUCCAGUGAGAAUAGACACAUACUUUAAAUUGAGCACAUGUGCAAGAUUUUUGGAAUUAAAUCAUGGGAAAUAAAGUCUACUUGUUAUUUUUCCGAGCUUCAACAGCUAGCAGCUUCUGCAGGUGGUCAAACCUGCAGAGGUUUAAAAAACAUUGUUACUUAAGACAGUCAACCUAAAAUCAGCAAGAUUUGAGAAAAGGUCUUGACAAUAUUAAGAAGAGAUUUUUUUUUUUUAUGGCAAUAAUAGUGGUGCGAGCUUUCAUUGCAAGGGCUGUUCCAAGACAGUAGAAUUGGCAGUGACCCAACAUCUUAUUCUCUUUUUUCAAGGCAAUACUCAGAUCAGAGACAGUUUUCCUCCCUGGUGUAAAUCAGUGUUGUCAAAGACAGUAAGGGAAAUAGUAGUUUGUAAUUUUUGAUGGGGAAACAAUCCCAGUGUAACUGGUGCUGAGUUGUUUGGUAAUUGGAAAGUACUUUGUUUCCUGAAAUAUAAACACCAAAAGUUCAGAUGAAAAAUCAGGUUGAAAAUCCGUCUGUACGGUGAAGACAGACUACAUUAUUAUAAUUUGUUUUUCUUAUUUCUUUAUGUUUGCUUCAUAUUUAAGCUGUUACAACAAGGGCUGGAAACAAAUUUCAGUCUUCAUUUAGUAGCAUUGUAACUGGAUUUCAAUUAAAAAAACAAUAGAGAGAAUUUAUAAUUGAUGGUAUUCUAAAUCACAUGCUACAUGAUAUUUAAAAUUAUUUGAAUGAAUUUAAACCAUUACAAUUAAAAUAAUUAAAAUUAUUUGAAAAUACAUUUUUCCCUUUGAUAAUUCAGGUUGGUAAUGGCAGAGUGAAACAUGAGAUAUAAAGAAAACUGCAGGAAGAUAAGCUAAUGACUGUUUAAUUUUGAUAUAAUAUUUCAUUCUUCCUGAAGUGCAACUUUAGAAAUGUGAUUCACAAUACACGGAAGUUAAAUAAAAUGCUUCAUUCCAGCACACUAUGAACACUGGUCUCAAAAUAUCGUCUUUCCCAAAAGACAGGAAUUCUGAGCUACCACUGUCUUUGCGUCUCUAUGGCCAAUAUCUGCAUUAUUUAUUUAGCCUGGAAAAGCCCUCUGAAGGAGCAGGAUCACAGGGCAUCUCAGAUAGGGCCAGAUGAGAGGCGAUGGGAGGUUGAACCCUGCACUUGGCUGGUCCCUUGCACUGGAGGAAGGAGCCCCUCAGCUCCAGGUCCCUGUUGGGAACAGAAACCCAAAAGCCAGAGAAAGAGAAAGAAAACCAGAGGGAACAGAGAAUGUAACCUAGUGUUUCCAGGCAUCUCCUGAAAAAAGCCUUUCAGUCUCAGUCUUCUGGCUGCAUGGAAGUGUAUGAGGUGAUCUCAGCCUUGGAAAUCAGUAAAUUAGAUCAUCUAAUUCAUUUCUCUGCUAACUGUGGAUUAUUUUUGCUGAUGCACAAUUUGGUUUUUUUAUUCCUCUAAUCUGUUGGUAACUUGAUUCCUUUAUGUCUGAGAAAAAGUAUUUCCUCCUUUUCUACCUUCAAGCUGUUGAUAUAAAGUAACCACAUUUAUGAAAGGAGCACAAAAAUGUACAGGGGUGAAUGCACUGGAGAUCCAGAGUUAUUAUCCAUUUUUUCAGUGACUUCUGCCUUUUCAGCUCUGAUGUCUUGCAGGCAGGGCAAAAAUUAUUAGUAUGAUCUGUUCCCUCUUCAGGGUAUGUUUCUAUUUGGCAUUCAAUAACACACUUUUUUUCACUAUUCUAUGAAUAUGACACUAUCUGCAAACCAUUUUUGUUCUCUCUGAUAUGUGCUAAAUAAUGACAAAGCAACAAAAAAAAUUAUGCACACUGUAAUUAACUGACCUGUGGUACAAGAAGAGUAAAUAAACUAAUAUCCUUGGAGAUCUCUUUUAUUAUUACCAAUUAUUUUUUAAACACCACAGGUCUCUUUGUAGUUGUGGAAGAAAAGUACUCCAGUGUUGCAUUUGACUGGAGGAAGGACCAAGUGAAACAUGCUUGUCCUGGGAGGUCGAUACAUGAGAGGUGGAGCAGGCUGGCUGUUUUGGUGGUAGCCCUGGUUUUACUGAAGUUGGUGAGUUUUGGAGGUUCUUUCUUCUACCCCACAGUGCUCAUCUCUAUCAUAUAUCAGGGGAAAGCAAUUAAUUUGUGAUGUACAAAGAUAUUAGGUAGUACUUGAAAGUAUUUAGCUGGUUUGAAUGGUGUCUGGAGUCUAUCUCUUCAUAAAACUCAUCUUUAUGAAGGCUCAAGAAUCUUCCUUUGUAGCAUAUCCAGAAAUUGUCCAUGAGCCAAGUUCAGAAGAAGCAAGAAUAUGAAAAUGCAGCUAAAAGUGCAUGUGAUAUGCAUGGACAAUGUAUGGGAAAGAGUCACAGGAAUUAUAAGGCUUGGCAGAAAAAACAUAGCUUGCCUCAAGUUGAGGGUACUUGUGAGGCUUAUUAAACCUUCACUCCGGCCAUUUCCAGUCAAUUUUAUGUUAUCAUUUACUACAUGAUGGAAUUGAAAUAUGAAUUUUCCAUAGCAACUCGGGCUUUAAAUGGGGCAUGUGUUGCUUUACAAAAUUGCAGCACCACCUUUAAAUGGAGUAAAGGAUAGUGCUCUAUGUAAUCUGGACAUUUACAAAAAGUUAUUAGCAAAAUGUGACUUUUAUAAACGUAUUUUCUCCAAUUUUUAGAGUACAUUUAAUAAGGAAAGGUUGUAAUUACAAAAAAAAUCAUAUGUAUUUAUAAAUAUAUGUAUAAAAUGAACUAUUUCAGCUUAAUCCAUUUUUGAGGAAAAAAAAAAAAAAAAAAAAAGGUGGACAUAGGGCUGGCAAUGAUAAGACCAAUGCCCUGUAGGAGAUUUACAGGAUGCACGUGAGGGUUUCUAUGCCACUGCUUUCUUGGUUCCCUAUAAGAAAAACAAAACAGUGACAGGUCAUAUAUUCAUUCAUGCAUUUUACUAUUUCCAUUUGAUCAGUCCUUUUGCCAGAAAAAUAAUGGAGCAUCCAGAAGAUGAUGUAAUUGUACAUAAAUAAAUGUUUAUUCAAAUCCCCUACUUGCAGUCACCUCCCACUAACAAAAUACCAGAGUCAGCUGGAUUUCUGGAAAGCAGAAUGUGUCCAGAAGUUUUGCUAGGUUAUGCAGAAUUAUGCUUGUUUAACUGAGCCUUUGAAUGUCUCAUAUGGUUAUAAAUGUGUAUGUUUGUGUGUGUGAGUGUGUGAAUGUAUACCUGCAUAUGUGAUACAAAACACUUGGACUUGCACAUCCAUUUCACUUUUUUCCUGUUAUUUCCAGCUAGACAUUACUAGCAAGAUCUAUCCUAAGCAUAAGAAUACAUAAGGUUUUUUAUUGAGGACAUCAAUUCUACAUAACUGAUGUACAUUUUUUUUUAAGCUGAGUUUGAAGAGAGUCAUCCAUGUGUAUGUUUAGCGUGAGAAUAAAAGCUAUACAAAAAGCAAGCAACCUUCUCACCCUCUUUGCAAAUUAUUUCUUCUGACUAACAAAAUCACAGCUACUUGUUAUCAUUUUUAAAAGCAGGUCAAGAACCCAAGCCCUGUAGGGAACAAGUACUACAAUGGGAUAAUAUCCUAACAUGCUUCAACGCCAAAUAUCAACUUCCCGUUUGCUAUUCAUUAUAUUAACUGAAAAUUUCACAGGACAAAAUGACAUCCUAUGGAUUGGCUUAAAUCCACUGUCCUUGCUUCAGAUUCUUGUGAGUACUGAAAACCACAGCAGGUUUGAAUUUUGUUUUCCUUUGUAAUCUAAAAAUAUUAUUUGUUUUGGCUUAAGGCAAAUUGUGAGAAAUACUGAUACACUUAAAGAGAACACAUUUAAGUGCUGAGGACAGCAAAUGAACCUUAGCAGUGCUGUAUGUGAGGCUCUAAAUUUGCAAUAUACAAGUGCUUUACUGGGAUUUAAGUAUAGGGGUGUCAAAUUAGUUAUAUGUCCAAAUGUGUGUAAUCGGAGAUGAUACGCAGUUAAAAAUAGCUAGUGCAUAAGGUAAAAAUUAUUCUCAAAAUUUAAAGGAACCAGUUUAUACUCCCAUCUAAGAUAGUUUAUGUAAAGCAUGCCCCAUAUUCACUGAAGAAUACCAGAAACUGAUGCAAGUCCUGAUGUAAGUUUUCAAUAAAAUAAUGAAAUUAGAUCCUAACUAGCUAGGAACAGUGCAGGUUUGAUUUCAGAGCUCCAUAACACCAUGGCUAUAGGCAGUAUAAUUUCAUAGUUCUCAGAAUAUGUGGAACUCGGGAGCUACUCAGAAACAUAAGCUGCAGUGCCUGGAGAUAAAGUAAAAUAUCUAUUAAUUCUGUGUAUCAAAGCUUGUCUUCUCUAAAAGAAUAUAUGUUACAGAGAGAUACU
Molecule: long non-coding RNA, 13197 nt
Organism: Columba livia (rock pigeon)
Lineage: Eukaryota; Metazoa; Chordata; Aves; Columbiformes; Columbidae
Exons: 8
Source: RefSeq, a predicted model, not a curated record